CGAAAGCCUGACGGAGCAACGCCGCGUGAGGGAUGGAGGCCUUUGGGCUGUAAACCUCUUUUCUCAAGGAAGAAGAUCUGACGGUACUUGAGGAAUAAGCCACGGCUAAUUCCGUGCCAGCAGCCGCGGUAAUACGGGAGUGGCAAGCGUUAUCCGGAAUUAUUGGGCGUAAAGCGUCCGCAGGCGGCCGUUUAAGUCUGUUGUUAAAUCGUGGAGCUCAACUCCAUCACGGCAAUGGAAACUGUUCGGCUUGAGUAUGGUAGGGGCAGAGGGAAUUUCCGGUGUAGCGGUGAAAUGCGUAGAUAUCGGGAAGAACACCAGUGGCGAAAGCGCUCUGCUGGGCCAUUACUGACGCUCAUGGACGAAAGCCAGGGGAGCGAAAGGGAUUAGAUACCCCUGUAGUCCUGGCCGUAAACGAUGAACACUAGAUGUUGGGGGAAUCGACCCCCUCGGUGUCGUAGCUAACGCGUUAAGUGUUCCGCCUGGGGAGUACGCACGCAAGUGUAAAACUCAAAGGAAUUGACGGGGGCCCGCACAAGCCGUGGAGUAUGUGGUUUAAUUCGAUGCAACGCGAAGAACCUUACCAAGGCUUGACAUCCUGCGAAUCUCUAAGAAAUUAGAGAGUGCCUUCGGGAACGCAGUGACAGGUGGUGCAUGGCUGUCGUCAGCUCGUGUCGUGAGAUGUUGGGUUAAGUCCCGCAACGAGCGCAACCCACGUUUUUAGUUGCCAGCAUUCAGUUGGGCACUCUAGAAAGACUGCCGGUGACAAACCGGAGGAAGGUGUGGACGACGUCAAGUCAUCAUGCCCCUUACGCCUUGGGCUACACACGUACUACAAUGCUGCGGACAAAGAGUAGCGAUCUUGCGAAAGUUAGCUAAUCUCAUAAACCGUGGCUCAGUUCAGAUCGUAGGCUGCAACUCGCCUACGUGAAGGAGGAAUCGCUAGUAAUCGCAGGUCAGCAUACUGCGGUGAAUACGUUCCCGGGCCUUGUACACACCGCCCGUCACACCAUGGAAGUUGGCCAUGCCCGAAGUCGUUACUCUAACCUUUUGGAAGAGGGCGCCGAAGGCAGGGCUAAUGACUGGGGUGAAGUCGUAACAAGGUAGCCGUAGCGGAAGCUGCGGCUGGAUCACCUCCUAA
This 1141-nucleotide ribosomal RNA is filed under the name Candidatus Synechococcus spongiarum. RNAcentral's name for it is "bacterial SSU rRNA". It matches the Rfam family "Bacterial small subunit ribosomal RNA", at positions 376 to 1533 of the family's 1533-position model. Lineage: Bacteria; Bacillati; Cyanobacteriota; Cyanophyceae; Synechococcales; Synechococcaceae. The record is from RNAcentral.